UACUGACCAUGCAGUGGUGAGAUUACAGAACUCAAUAUGGAUAUGACAAGACUGAAAACAAGAUGUGGGUCUUCUCCAGGAAGUGAAGGUCUACAAGUGAUCUAGGUUUUGUACCCUUCCUGAAGAUGCCAAAUACACUGAAGAAUAGAUACUGCUCCUUAAACUCUAGGACAACCUGCUCCUUGGCAGAAUCCAGAGGAAGAGAGUCAUAGGGACUGUUUAUUUUUGUUUUAUUCUAAGAUAUAGUAAUUACUUGGCUUCCUUUUAUAAGACACCUGCAUAUGUUGUGCUGCAUUACCGAUCCAAAACUUAGCUUUUUAAUGUGGUUGCUCUUGCCUACUUAUAUUUCUAUUUCUCUGGGCAUGUGUAUACAUUAUUAUGUAUUUUUUUUCUCUAUUGAAUGUUUUCCCACUAGUUUCUCUGCUUUUACUUUUCCAGAGCUGAAUAACCAAAGUUUAUAUAGUCUAGAAGAAUAGAUUUCUAAGUUAGAGCUUACUUCAUAAUACUUUGCUGUCUUUUUUUUUUUUUUUUUUUUUUCUCCACAUUUGGGAAUGCCUCAAAGUCUAUGUGCCAAACAUCGUAUAAAUAGGAGUAGUCAUGAUGGUGCCCUAAGCAUCUUACAGUUUAAUUAAAGACCGGAAAACAAGAGCUAAUUGUAAAACAACCGGAGAGUCUGAGGGCAAUUGUAAAAAUGUCAUGUAUUUAAAUACACUCAAUGUACACAGUUUGUGCACAGCUCAAAAUCAGAAGUCUAAUGGCUUUGACACAUGCUUUCCAUGAAGUCAUGUGGUACCCUAACAUUUUCUGUCUUCUGUGCAUCUCUUUGCCACUCAUGGUGAAGCUGUUCAUCUGUACAAUGCUCUGUCCCUCCUGUGUUCUCCUACCACUCUGCUACCUGGAAAUGUCAGGAUCCACGUGGUACUACUAUCCAGAUAGUAUGGUGGCAUAGAAGAGAUGUACCAUCUGCAGUCAGAAGAGAAUCUCCCAAGGUGUUCACCCCUCCUCAGGUCUGUUCUUUGGAGCAAAAAAGUAUUCUUAGCUUAUAUAUUCUGAGCUGUUCCCAUCCAUAUUAUCUCUUUUGUGUGUGUAGCCUUGCUGUGAGAGCCUUGUAACCUUUCAUGUGAGGUUUAUACUUUGAGGGAGGUGACUGUUGUCAUACAUCCUUUGCAGAUGAGUAGGCAGAAGUCCUCAUGCUGAAGAUGCCCUAGCAUGUCAUCCCUGCAGUGCAUUCUGCAGCACUGCAAAGGCAUGGCAGUCUUCCAACAAGUUAGCACUCCUCUUCGCUCAGCUGCUGCCCUUGAAGGUGCUGCAGAGAUCUCCCCUCUCAUCUGCUUGGAAGAGAUAUCAAAACUUCUGAGGCUGAAGCAUCUGCUGCUGCCCUACUAUCAGUCUUAAUCUGGCCAGAUAGGAUUAAAAACAGAAGGUGUCACUAUUUCAGCAAGAGAUUAGUGCCUACAUGAGGAGCACAGAGAGUAGUGGGGGAGAAGAAGGCAAGACAGAAGGAAUACAGUUUAGAGAGGAAAAGAAUUUGAAAGGCUACAUGAGGCAGUUCAUUGGUGGUGCCAAUCUCUAAGGCAGUGUUUGCCUCAGUGCUCACACUGCUCUUCACAAAGAUCUGUUUCACAACGACCUUCCAGGCGAGGAAGUCCCCUCCCAUCCAUAAAGAUGCUCCAGCUGAAGGUCACCAGAGAGUGAUGCCUGCUGUGUGCACUUCCUUCAUUGGAAUGAGCACGUUUGCCUGCCCCAGGACAAGAACAAUAGAGGCAUCCAGGCUCGGAUGGAUGCCUGUAGGGUGGUGAGCAGGCUAAUAUGGAGCACUGGGCUGGGCUUUGCCUCUCCAUUAUCUCUUGAAAGGAUGCUCUGCACUGAAGCUAGGGAAGGGAAAUAAAUAUGAAAGCCUUGACAAAUGAUUUUAUUUUAUUUUAUUUUAUUUUAUUUUUUAUGUUCCCAUUUAAAGACAGGCCUUUAUAUCUCAGCAGCAGUUUUCCUUCCAAGGAAAUUUAUAUUUGAUCACUUCUCUGACCUCUUUUUUUUAAUUAGUUUCAGAUACUUAUUGUGUCUUUAGUGGUUCUUUCCCUGAGGUAGUGAUGGUAUUUGUUUUUCUAAAUUGCAUUGAGACUGAUUUCAAAUGCGUCAUAUUUUCCAUUGUCAUGUGGUACUUUCCCUCUAAAGAUCCAUCCUUUCAUUCUCAAUGAAAACAAAUUUAUGCAUUUUGAUAUAUACAAAAAAUAGGUAUAUAUAUAUUAUAUGAAAAAUAUUUCUCCCCUGAGCAAUUGCUCAGAUUGUAAUAGAGAAAAUGUUUAAAGAAAAUAAAUUAGUAUUGUCCUUAGAAAUGUGUUCCUCCUCACCAUUUUAAGAGUUGACUGAAUUCUGUAGUGUUUAUUUCAAUAAUAACUGCAAGAUAUAUACAGGCCAUUACAUAAAUCCUCUUGCUUUCAUUUGUAAUCAAGAUGUUUUUAAUUCUCUCAUCUGUUUAAUGAACAUUUAUGACUCUUCUAGCAUAUUGUUCCCCUUCCUCAUGUGCAAAGAAGAUGUCCAUAAAUUAAGUCUUAGAGACUAACCUACUGAAUUUAAAGGUUUCUCCAGUUCUUUGUGAAAACCAAUUACCUAAAAUUUCUAAAUAAAAUAGUUUACAACAUAUUUUUAGGGUAUUCCAUUUUAAAGUAAAAGUUAUUUAAACUAUUUAUUUGCAGAAGUGCUUAUAACUAAUACAAGGAAUCAGAAAAAAAAAAUGAUUAUCAUAAAACAAGAGUUGUCUAUACAUACAGGUCAUGAUGUAAAAUCACAUGAUUGCACUGCAGCUGCUGGAAUUCCAUAAUGAAGCAGGUCUUCAGUGAGUAUUUCCCUAUCACUUUGAUCAAAGGACCUAAUGACAAAAGUUUUGUAGAGGUUUCUCUCAGUAUAUCAUGGCUGAUUUUAUUUUUUUGUUUUGGCUAACAAAAAA
This is a long non-coding RNA of Oxyura jamaicensis (ruddy duck), 2944 nucleotides long. RefSeq lists it as uncharacterized. NCBI's taxonomy places the organism in Eukaryota, Metazoa, Chordata, Aves, Anseriformes, Anatidae. The record is from RefSeq and is a predicted model, not a curated record. The transcript is spliced from 2 exons.